ACGCACGUGUGAAACUUGAAGGAAUUGACGGAAGGGCACCACAAGAACGCGUGGAGCAUGUGGCUUAAUUUGACUCAACGCGGGAAAUCUUACCGGGUCCGGACACACUGAGGAUUGACAGGCAAUAUUAGCAAUUCAUUCGGUCUCUCGGGGCUGUUUUGUGUUGUUAUGUUAAAUAUGCUAGUCCUUUCAUGAUUAUGUGAUAGGUGGUGCAUGGCCGUUCUUAGUUCGUGGAGUGAUCUGUCUGCUUAAUUGCGUUUCACUAAGGGCCUAUUAUUUAACGUGUGUUGCGGCACUUUUGACCCCUCUUCGGUGCGCGCGUCUUAGUUUGUUUAGCUCGCACAAUUAGGUC
This 352-nucleotide ribosomal RNA is filed under the name Foraminifera environmental sample. Its description in RNAcentral is "partial small subunit ribosomal RNA". It matches the Rfam family "Eukaryotic small subunit ribosomal RNA", at positions 1129 to 1401 of the family's 1831-position model. Lineage: Eukaryota; Foraminifera. The record is from RNAcentral.